This 430-nucleotide ribosomal RNA is filed under the name Micromonospora sp. Its description in RNAcentral is "bacterial SSU rRNA". It matches the Rfam family "Bacterial small subunit ribosomal RNA", at positions 105 to 550 of the family's 1533-position model. Lineage: Bacteria; Bacillati; Actinomycetota; Actinomycetes; Micromonosporales; Micromonosporaceae. The record is from RNAcentral.
GGUGAGUAACACGUGAGCAACCUGCCCUAGGCUUUGGGAUAACCCUCGGAAACGGGGGCUAAUACCGAAUAUGACCUCGCAUCGCAUGGUGUGUGGUGGAAAGUUUUUCGGCCUGGGAUGGGCUCGCGGCCUAUCAGCUUGUUGGUGGGGUGAUGGCCUACCAAGGCGACGACGGGUAGCCGGCCUGAGAGGGCGACCGGCCACACUGGGACUGAGACACGGCCCAGACUCCUACGGGAGGCAGCAGUGGGGAAUAUUGCACAAUGGGCGGAAGCCUGAUGCAGCGACGCCGCGUGAGGGAUGACGGCCUUCGGGUUGUAAACCUCUUUCAGCAGGGACGAAGCGUAAGUGACGGUACCUGCAGAAGAAGCGCCGGCCAACUACGUGCCAGCAGCCGCGGUAAGACGUAGGGCGCGAGCGUUGUCCGGAU